This 432-nucleotide ribosomal RNA is filed under the name uncultured bacterium. RNAcentral describes it as "bacterial SSU rRNA". It matches the Rfam family "Bacterial small subunit ribosomal RNA", at positions 29 to 507 of the family's 1533-position model. The record is from RNAcentral.
AACGAACGCUGGCGGCAGGCUUAACACAUGCAAGUCGAACGAGAUCUUCGGAUCUAGUGGCGCACGGGUGAGUAACGCGUGGGAAUCUACCUUGGAGUCUGGGAUAACAGUUGGAAACGACUGCUAAUACCGGAUACGCCCUUAGGGGAAGGUUUACUGCUCCGAGAUGAGCCCGCGUCCAAUUAGGUAGUUGGUGAGGUAAAGGCUCACCAAGCCGACGAUUGGUAGCUGGUCUGAGAGGAUGACCAGCCACACUGGGACUGAGACACGGCCCAGACUCCUACGGGAGGCAGCAGUGGGGAAUAUUGGACAAUGGGGGCGAACCCUGAUCCAGCCAUGCCGCGUGAGUGAUGAAGGCCUUAGGGUUGUAAAGCUCUUUCGCCGGUGACGAUGAUGACGGUAACCGGAGAAGAAGUCCCGGCUAACUUCGUG